Molecule: long non-coding RNA, 975 nt
Organism: Meriones unguiculatus (Mongolian gerbil)
Lineage: Eukaryota; Metazoa; Chordata; Mammalia; Rodentia; Muridae
Exons: 3
Source: RefSeq, a predicted model, not a curated record
AUCACAGUCCAUCUCAGAGGUCACUGAAGAUUUCCAACCGCAGCCGCCCUCACUGGGCUCGACCCCACCUCCUCCCCACAGCCACUCCUGCUUCUUUAUCUGUUCUAGUGUCUGGGAAUGGCCACUGUGCCCUUUCCCUCCUCCCCCAUUCCAGACAAUGGAUGGUUACACUGGGGCUGGCUGCCACAAAAGAUGCUCAGUAUGAUAUAUAGAAGAAAGAGAAGAAGAAGAAGAAGAAGAAGAAGAAGAAGAAGAAGAAGAAGAAGAAGAAGAAGAAGAAGAAGAAGAAGACAAGACACUGUAAUCCCCCAAGUACAUAGCAACCACUGAUUCCCCAAAUAUAAAACAGAACAGAAGAGAACGGAAAACAGAACAACAGAACAGAACAGAACAGAACAGAACAGAACAGAACAGAACAGAACAGAACAGAACAGAACAGAACAGAACAGAAGAAUAGAUGGAGUGGAGUGGAGUGAAGUGGAAUGGAAUGGAACGGAAUGGAAGAAUAUAAAACUCUAAGAAGCCCAUUUGAAGAAUUCAACAGCACUAAAUAGCUCAUUCCAUGGACUGAUGUGGGAAUCCAUCCUAUAAAGGCACAAAGAAUAGUUUAUGUUUAUUCCAAAAAAGGAAAGCAGAUUGUCACCUUGACCACUCCUCUUCCUCCACUCCGCUUCUGUGGCUAGUGCUAUGCAGCUUAAGCAUAAUCCCAACUCUUCCCUCCAUUCUACCAUAACGUGCAUGAUGUGACCCUACUGCCCCACUGAUGACAAGCUCCCUCCAUAAACUUCUCUGGCCAGUGACAGUUUAUCACAAUUCUGCAAAUAAAGGCUCUGCAUAUUCAGAUGUGAUCAAAUGUUUGCUAUUGUAUUCCCACUGCUGCGGUUAGCACAGGCUGUUGAGAACCAACCUUAACUCAAUGAGCUGAAAUUUAAGUCAAACAGGAGAAAUAAAUGCACAACCUGGAACCAAGAUCAA